Pelobates cultripes (western spadefoot toad) is the source of this 272-nucleotide non-coding RNA. The record is from the annotation of a GenBank genome assembly. NCBI's taxonomy places the organism in Eukaryota, Metazoa, Chordata, Amphibia, Anura, Pelobatidae.
UUUAGUUCAGCCCCCCAGCCCUCCACUAUAGGUGCCCCUUUGGAGGUGUCCACAGGAAAGCAUAAAUUUGAGGACAGUGUCUGGAAGCAGUUUAAGCAGUAAGCAUUGCAGUUAGCAUGUUAAUCACCAAUGGUAAAAUGAGUGUAUGACCCACUGAUAUUGGGGGUAAAGUAAUGGUGAGCUUAACACAAUAAGGCAUUAUAGAGUAACUGAAUCCCCAUAUAUAUACAAAAAGAGAAGUCCUGCGCUCACUCCCAUCACUACUGGGCCAG